UGGGGAAUAUUGGACAAUGGGCGAAAGCCUGAUCCAGCCAUGCCGCGUGUGUGAAGAAGGUCUUCGGAUUGUAAAGCACUUUAAGUUGGGAGGAAGGGCAGUAAGCGAAUACCUUGCUGUUUUGACGUUACCGACAGAAUAAGCACCGGCUAACUCUGUGCCAGCAGCCGCGGUACUACAGAGGGUGCAAGCGUUAAUCGGAAUUACUGGGCGUAAAGCGCGCGUAGGUGGUUCGUUAAGUUGAAUGUGAAAGCCCCGGGGUCAAACUGGGAACUGCAUCCAAAACUGGAGAGCUAGAGUAAGGCAGAGGGUGGUGGAAGUUCCUGUAUAGCGGUGAAAUGCGUAGAUAUAGGGAGGAACACCAGUGGCGAAGGCGACCAGCUGGGGUCAUACUGACACUGAGGUGCGAAAGCGUGGGGAGCAAACAGG
This 429-nucleotide ribosomal RNA is filed under the name Pseudomonadota bacterium. Its description in RNAcentral is "Proteobacteria bacterium partial 16S ribosomal RNA". It matches the Rfam family "Bacterial small subunit ribosomal RNA", at positions 355 to 776 of the family's 1533-position model. The record is from RNAcentral. Lineage: Bacteria; Pseudomonadati; Pseudomonadota.